GGCGGAGGGAGCUUUACUGCAGUCGAACGGAGCCGGGGCACCUGGUGGCGAGUGGCGAACGGGUGAGUAACAUAUCGGAGCAUGUCCGGAAGUGGGGGAUAACGUAGCGAAAGUUACGCUAAUACCGCAUAUGCCCUGAGGGGGAAAGGGGGGGAUCGCAAGACCUCUCGCUUUCGGAGUGGCCGAUAUCGGAUUACCUAGUUGGUGAGGUAAAGGCUCACCAAGGCGACGAUCCGUAGCUGGUCUGAGAGGACGACCAGCCACACUGGAACUGAGACACGGUCCAGACUCCUACGGGAGGCAGCAGUGGGGAAUUUUGGACAAUGGGCGCAAGCCUGAUCCAGCCAUACCGCGUGAGUGAAGAAGGCCUUCGGGUUGUAAAGCUCUUUCAGCCGGAAAGAAAUUGCUUCUAUUAAUACUAGGAGUAGAUGACGGUACCGGAAGAAGAAGCACCGGCUAACUACGUGCCAGCAGCCGCGGUAAUACGUAGGGUGCGAGCGUUAAUCGGAAUUACUGGGCGUAAAGCGUGCGCACGCGGUUUGGUAAGACAGACGUGAAAUCCCCGGGCUUAACCUGGGAACUGCGUUUGUGACUGUCAGACUAGAGUGUAGCAGAGGGGGGUAGAAUUCCACGUGUAGCAGUGAAAUGCGUAGAUAUGUGGAGGAAUACCGAUGGCGAAGGCAGCCCCCUGGGCUAACACUGACGCUCAUGCACGAAAGCGUGGGGAGCAAACAGGAUUAGAUACCCUGGUAGUCCACGCCCUAAACGAUGUCAACUAGGUGUUGGGGAAGGAGACUUCUUUAGUACCGCAGCUAACGCGUGAAGUUGACCGCCUGGGGAGUACGGUCGCAAA
This 853-nucleotide ribosomal RNA is filed under the name uncultured bacterium. Its description in RNAcentral is "bacterial SSU rRNA". It matches the Rfam family "Bacterial small subunit ribosomal RNA", at positions 38 to 892 of the family's 1533-position model. The record is from RNAcentral.